UUGAAAAACAAAAAUCAAUAGGACUCAGAAUAUGGGUGGUGAUAUAACAGAAUGGUCGGCAAAUAGGCUUUUUACGGCCGUUUU
This 84-nucleotide small RNA is filed under the name Arabidopsis thaliana (thale cress). RNAcentral describes it as "ATSL147670". Lineage: Eukaryota; Viridiplantae; Streptophyta; Magnoliopsida; Brassicales; Brassicaceae. The record is from RNAcentral.